RNAcentral lists this ribosomal RNA (440 nucleotides) under uncultured bacterium. RNAcentral describes it as "partial 16S ribosomal RNA". It matches the Rfam family "Bacterial small subunit ribosomal RNA", at positions 338 to 795 of the family's 1533-position model. The record is from RNAcentral.
CCUACGGGUGGCAGCAGUGGGGAAUAUUGCACAAUGGGGGAAACCCUGAUGCAGCGACGCCGCGUGAGCGAUGACGUAUUUCGGUAUGUAAAGCUCUAUCAGCAGGGAAGCAAAUGACGGCACCUGACUCAGAAGCCCCGGCUCACUACGUGGCAGCAGCCGCGGUCAUACGUAGGGGGCAAGCGUUAUCCGGAUUUACUGGGUGUAAAGGGAGCGUAGACGGCGGUGCAAGCCAGAUGUGAAAGCCCGGGGCUCAACCCCGGGACUGCAUUUGAAACUGUGCUGCUAGAGUGUGGGAGAGGCAUGCGGAAUUCCUGGUGUAGCGGUGAAAUGCGUAGAUAUUAGGAGGAACACCAGUGGCGAAGGCGGCCUGCUGGACGAUGACUGACGUUGAGGCACGAAAGCGUGGGGAGCAAACAGGAUUAGAUACCCGGGUAGUC